ACUCUGAUAGGACUGCCGGUGACAAGCCGGAGGAAGGUGGGGAUGACGUCAAGUCAUCAUGGCUCUUACGAGUUGGGCUACACACGUGCUACAAUGGCAGCUACAGAGAGGAGCGAAGCUGUGAAGCGGAGCCAAUCUUAAAAAGCUGUCUCAGUUCGGAUUGUUCUCUGCAACUCGAGAACAUGAAGUUGGAAUCGCUAGUAAUCGCGGAUCAGCAUGCCGCGGUGAAUACGUUCCCGGGUCUUGUACACACCGCCCGUCACGCCAUGGGAGUUUGUUCUGCCUGACGGCGUUGAGCUAACCUGCUUGCAGGAGGCUGGCGACCACGGUAGGGUAAGCGACUGGGGCGAAGUCGUAACAAGGUAGCCGUAGGGGAACCUGCGGCUGGAUCACCUCCUUUCAAAG
RNAcentral lists this ribosomal RNA (405 nucleotides) under Azospirillum sp. 51_20. RNAcentral's name for it is "bacterial SSU rRNA". It matches the Rfam family "Bacterial small subunit ribosomal RNA", at positions 1137 to 1533 of the family's 1533-position model. The record is from RNAcentral. Lineage: Bacteria; Pseudomonadati; Pseudomonadota; Alphaproteobacteria; Rhodospirillales; Azospirillaceae.